CUACGGACUUAAAAUCCGUCGACUUUAAAAAUCGUGAGGGUUC
RNAcentral lists this transfer RNA (43 nucleotides) under Tarasa operculata. RNAcentral's name for it is "partial tRNA-Leu". Lineage: Eukaryota; Viridiplantae; Streptophyta; Magnoliopsida; Malvales; Malvaceae. The record is from RNAcentral.